GUGAGGGGCAGCCCGCCAUGGUCGGCCUGGGGCGGGCGCUGCCCCCUGAAGCUGAGCAGGGCUUUGGGGAGGCAGCGAGCAGGGUCUGGCGUGGGGGUGCAGCUGAAGCCUCUUUGUAGUCCCCUUCCUGCGGCCGGUCUGCCACAAGCAGAAUCGUGGGGAACACAAGUGCCAAGAACGGAGCAUCAGCAGAUGCCACGAGAACGGGCUAAAAAUGGGCUAAAAGGAACAAAAAAGCAGAGGGGUUAGUGAUUGAUGAGUCAGAAGUUGCAGGAGAGAGUGCAGAAAUCCCCCAGGGCCGUGGCACCGCUGCCCCCAGCCUGUCCUGCAGCAGGGCUGCGUGGGGAGGGGAGCGGGCUGUUCUGUGGGGUCCGACGGGGGUCACCACCCUGCCCUGACGGGCUGGUGUCACAGCUGAUGGAUCUUGGGUCCAGACAAGUGGAAGUUUUGUAGGUAGAAAGCCUCAAAAUACUCUGCCUACGGGAAUGCAGGUGUUCAGCAACCUGCCCACAGCAGCACACAAGCACGCAGGGCAUCGGGGGGGUUGGAAGUGUUGACCUUAGCUCGGUGACCAAAGCUUUCCAAGUUUCCACUUGCGACAGUUGCCAAUGACCUGAGUAGUUAUGAAAUGUUGAGACUUUGUCUGCUUAUGUUUAUUUUUGAAAUCCAUUUGUACAUUGAAUUUAAAUAAGUUGUUAAACAGUAAAGGAAAAACAUAAGCUUUAGAAGUUCAAAGGCACUGGUGUGCUGGUUUGGCAUUACUCCAGCACUGGAGUUCUGCCAGGCUUUCAUGAUCCAGAGAACAAACUGCAUUUGUAAGCUUGUGUUUGUUCUUUCCUUACUCACUGCAGCAUGACAUUGAGCUAAGGCUGAGAAUUCACCUUUCUACUUUGACACCUUUGUGAAAAAUACGGCAACUUUUCGAUAAGGCUUUUAAUCUGAGUGCAAAAAAGUUGUUUGUUCUGGUCUCACUAAGCCCCUUAGAUACCGAUCAUUGAAAACUAUCUGCUUUUCUUUUGCGUCUCUCUACUGGGCUUUGGCUCACGUUUCUUCUGUAAUUCUAAUUCACAAUUAAAAACUUUACUGUUUUCUAGCAAAAUGCAGGUCCAAUAUUAAUAACCUUUUCAGAUUUCAGGCAUUUGUUUCAAAUUGCCCUUUUGUGCAACAGAAAUAUCGAACAGACUGCCUCGCGUUGCUGAUUUGUGAUAUCUAUACCCGGGAGACUAGUCAUGAUAUGAGUUGUCAUAUAGAUAUCCAGAUUUCGUAGCAUUAUGGCUGAAAAAAGAUCCUAACUUUCUGUCUACUUGUGAUUUAAUUUUCCUAUUUAAUUUUAUAGGGAGCCAGAGCAGAAGCAUCUGUUUCCUUUUGCAACAAAUACUUGUGAUCAUGAAUAAACUCCAGAAGUACAGGGACAUACGUGCCAGUAGUGGUGCCUUAAAUGCUUUACCAUGAUGUGUGACCAGGCACAAAAGUGGAAGCUGCCCUUGGUACUGGUAGUGUCCAUUCUUACUGAAUAUAAGAACGAUAUCCAUUAGGAUUUCUAGUGUUGGCAGUAAUAGCUGACAAAAGAAGGGCAUGACAUCCUGCAGUCUGGUCCUGUUGAACAGUUUUAGUAGCACUGCUAAGAGUAGGUGUGGUGUAGUUGCUGAGAAUACAUAUAGGGUCACAAAUACCAUGUUACUAUCAUUAGGAGACAUAAAGUCUUUUGUUAAAUAUAUGGUUAAGUCACCAGGGAAAAGAGUGCAAAAAAAAAGUUCAGUAAAUCUAGUGUUGCACUGUGACACCCUUUCAGAGAGUUUUACUUAAAAGACUUCAAGUUUAAUUCUAAUUUCUACUUUUUUCCCCCACACUUACUGUUUACACAUUCCAGUCUUUGUAUUUUUUCUGGUUUUCAGUCAUUGGAUUCAAUCCUGUGAUCCACAUGACUCAAGAAUGCUUCUCACUCUGCCUUUCACCCCACUGGGGGUGCAUCACUACCACCGAGGAUGUGCCAACAGGAUACUGUUGGCUGUCCUGCCAGAAACCACAUUAAUUCCUGCUAACAUAGGUUUAUGUUCUAUGUUCCAGGUGGCCAACCCACCAGAGGAAAUAGUUUUGUUUAACAAAGGUGGAGAGGCUUUGCCCUUGUGCAAUAUCACAUACAGAGAAAGAAACGUGUUGAAUGUUAUCUAUGUAUGAAAAAAGGGGGAAUAGAAGAGGGAAAUAAAAUGGAAGAAGGGGGUGUAGAGAAAAGAUUAAGUGACAGUCAUAGUCUGAGAAAGAGCUUGUUUGUUGAAUAUGUCUGAAAACACUUGGAAAGUGGCCUGGGGCCCCAAGCUUGUGACAACAGCUGGAAUAUUCCCAGAUUUGUAUCAAUAGCUGAUUAAAUGAGAGGGGGAGCUGUUUUGCAGCCUAAAAUGGGGUUAUUCCAAACCUGUAAAUUAUUUCAUUCAUUACACAUUGGGAUUCUGGAGUAUGUCUUUCAAAGUCUUAGUGCUCUUAAUUUCAGGGAAUAUGCAGAAUCUGUAUCCUCUGCCUACUGCAUGGGAGCUGCCACCCAGUCUGCAUGCAGCUGGAAGUGACGUUGGCUGUGCCUUCUCUUAACGCUGCUGCAAGCAAGUCCUUCAGAAAGGUGAUACUUUGUUCAGCUGUCAUCCCUUCUCCAUUAAUACUUGUUAUUGAGAUUCUGCCUCAUUGGCCUCUGUGAUUGUUCCCAUUAGAAUAGUGUGGCAAAGACCCAGUGAAUCCAACUUUAUACCCUGACUAUCCUGCAAACAUCUUACAAAUGUGUACCUUGUAUUCCAGUUCUUUGUCCUCAUAUUCCACCCACAUACAUUACUGGUACCUGCUACUACCCAGAAUUUCAAGGAAUGGUGGGUAGGUCUGCCUGAGUUCCGUCUUACAUCUGUGUUGGUGGGCCACAGGCACAGGCUGGAGAUUCUCACUUUGAUCAUCUUUAUGGUUCACUUCUCUGACCCAGCUGAUUGUUUGGUGAGGGAGAGAUCCUGUCACACCUGUACCUCAAGUGUCUCCUGUUACAACUCUUCCUCUAAAACCUUUAGACCUCCAUGCUGGAGUUCUGUCUGUAUUUUCCCCACAGUAGUGUCCCAGGCACUACAGGCAGCAUCAGUUGACUCGGGCAGCGUGUAUCUUGUGACAGAGCUCACAUGCACUCCUUGUAGGGAGUUCUGUCUCUCCAUGCCAAUAGAAUUAGUUGUGCCAUCACCGUAGUCCGUGAAGCCUUGCUGCUGAUUCACAAGCCAAGUCUGAGUUAACUAAGAUAAUGCUGGCAGUGUUUCUGGAACAAAGAUAUUCUUCAAGUCAACUAGAUGUUGGGCCUUUCAUAAGGUUUUUUUUCAGGAAAAAGGUCUCCCUUCACUGCCACUGGAGUGUCCAGCAGCCACAGGCACUGAAGCUCACCUUGGAGCUUCUCUGGGCAGUUCAGUACCGUUGCCUGCAUUCAAAGAGGUUUUGCCCUAUUCCAGGUCUAAUGGUAGCUUUGUAGUAAUAAAGUUCAUGCAGUACCUCAUAAAAAAGGCAGAUGGGAAGCACACUUCCUAAAGCCCAGUUGCAGAUGCAUGUAUAGCAACUGAUUAACUUAAUUAUUAGAAAAUGUGAAGUUCCAUUGUGGCCCUCUACUUUAGUGACCUCUCCGCAUCACAGAAUUUUUGGCAAUAAAAUCAUCUCAUGUUUCGUGGCUUAUAAUAUUUUGUGCCUGUAAUUCCUUUUUUUACUGUUGCAGAAUACAUAAUAGCAGAUUUUUCUUGAAACAGUCUAAUGAUAUAUUAUCUCUUUUUGGAGUGAUAACAGUAAAUUUAAGCUCAAGCAACCUAUAUAAAGAGCUCAGUGUUCCUUGCAUCCCCAUGAUGUCUUUUCUUCCCUGAUUUUCACUUGCACUGUAAUUCCAGUUUGCUUCAUUUUGUUAGACUCCUCCAAAACUCAAGAACUCACUGGUCCCAAGAAAGACCAGAAAUUAACUAACAUAUGUGAUUUUGUAGCAGUUGCAAUUUUUUACCAAUUUAUUACUUUUUCCAGAAAACUGACAUGAAACAGCAGAUGUCUCAGUGUAGAAGCAGCUUCCUAAUCCCCCUCCCACUGUCACGGAAUGCUGAUUAUAAAGGGAAAGUGUACCUGCUUACAAGGACAUUGCCAUGUUUGAGAUAAAGAUCUCUUGAUUUUAUUUGUUCUGUCAGACAGAGAACUAAAUUUCUCUUGCACGUUCAGAGCUUGGAGCACACCACUCACGGCAAUUUAAAAGAAGACAAGAUAUCCACGCCCCAGCAAAUGGAAAGGCUUGGCAACCCUGCACUACCAGUUCUGUAAAAGUGAAAUGUUACGGGAAGUCUCUGCAAACAUUGGUCCUGUAAACAGAUCUUUAUCCGUAGUGACCGGAUGCCCUUGGGAAGAUUUACGCCAUUGCCAGUCCCUGAGACUCCACCUGGGAAUCAAACAGCAUUGGGUCAGCUGGUCAGGGAAAUGGGCUCGGGUCAGGGAAUCUGUUUGGUGGGCACCACAGCUGGUUGAUCUUUGGAGGAAUCCCACAGGUCAAGGGAGGUUGUGGUUGUUCGUUGUCAUUGAGGCUUUGCUUGGUUGUUCUGGCUUCUGCUUCCAAUCAACUUGCUUAAUAUUUGAGCCCAUCCCCUUCCCACACCAUUCCUCUAUCCUUGACUCUACUUCAUUGCAUGGAUUCCCUUUCCCUUUAAAAGGUCAACCUCUUGUCAUCUCUGGUGCUUGGCUGUGGUUUGUCUGAUUGUAAUACCUAUUUGCACUACAUACUUUAGCUCUUUGACUCUUCUCUUUCUAGCUUGGUCCCAAGCACAGUGUUCCCCUGCAAAGUUCUCUCCUCAUGCUGGCAGGAAAACAUGGACCAGAGGGUUGUGCAGAUUAUGCAGGAUUUGAAGGUUCUGGAAGAUGCCACAAGAGUUGUACAUGGAGAGGUGGUGUGCUCACCUGCAUAUACUGAUGCAUGGUGAUACACUAGAGGUGUUAGUGACAAGUCAAAGACAAAAGACAAAGGUGCUACAGCGAUGCAGCGAGUGCAUCACUGUGGGUGUUGCUGUACAAUAUGCUUGGACAGUACAGGAGAGACUGAGCUUGGUGCUGUGCUGUGCCAGGGAACCCAACAGCACUGUCCUGGGUUCUCAGUCAGUGUUUCACAUGAUGAAUAAGCUCUCUGAGGAAAACAGGUAACUUGACAUCUCACAUGCCUAAAAACUCCUGUUCCAGUCGGUUUUUUCAGUUUGCACGUCCUGGUUCAGAAGUUGGGAAAUACUCUGGGAGGUCAACAACCGUGCUUAUGAAAACUUGAUGGCUACUUCCUGUUGGCAGAAGCUCUUCUUUGGAGCAGUGCCAGCGUUUGAAAGGACCCUGAAGGAAAACACCAGCCGUGGCUGUACUGUCUUGCAACUCUUGUGUGAACUUGUACUGUACAUUGGGCAAUAGUCUGCAAAAAGAAAAGGCUGCAUUUAUCUAAAUAAAGCGGUCUUUCUGUUCCAAGCUGCAAUAGUGAAUUGUGCCUGGAUGAAGGCACAAGGCUGCGGGAGACACCUUUAACCCCAGCUCCUGGCUCUGGAGACACCCUUAUCCCGGGUCGUGCCCCCGCGGGAGCCCCGCGCCCGUCCCGCAGCGCCGCGGUGCUCGGGGGACACCUGGUGGCGUCUGCGCCGCAGCGCGCCCGGCCCCGCCCCGCACAGGCCCCGCACGCCCCUGGGCUCGGCGUAGGAACUGCUGGUGCUGCUUCGCAAUGGAACCCCAUCCAGCACGCGGGUGUGUCCGAGUAAAGCUCUCAGUCAGCCCUGAGACUCUGUGCUGCCCAAUCCUGUCUGAGAGGAACAGGGCAAGCAUGUACAUGGCCUUGAAUUUAUUGGAAAGAGGACAGCUCUUGUUCCUAUUGCUUAUUAAGAUGUAUAGGAAUAUAAUUCGCUUAUGAAAUAAGCUCUGCAGAGCACGAUAUUAAAACAUGUAGGGAACAUGGGCAGUAGUCCGAGUUAUCGACUCGGCUGGUUCCUGAAACCACCUGGACAGUCAGAUGUGGGAGUGUGAAUGAGACAGAUGGCUCUUCUUAUCCUUUCUGUAGUCACCUGGUCUGCUAUCAUAGAAUCCUAGAAUCAUAGAAUUAACUGGGUUGGAAGAGACCUCCGAGAUCAUCAAGUCCAACUCUUGGUCCAACCCCACUGUGAUGACUGGAUCAUGGCACUCAGUGCCACAUCCAGCCUCAUCUUAAAAACCUGCAGGGAUGGUGAAUCCACCACCUCUCUGGGCAGGCCAUUCCAGUGCCUGAUCACUCUCUCUGUAAAGAACUUCUUUCUAAUAUCCAACCUAAACCUCCCCUAGCAGAGCUGAAGCCUGUGCCCUCUUGUCCUAUGAGGACUCCUCAGAGACAGUUUGCUGUAAAAGGAAGAUUCUCAGCUUUGAUUUAGUAGAUGCUUUAAUGAAAAACUCUGUUCAUUAAAACCUCAUUCUUGUCGUGCAGAACUCUGGAAUGAGGUUGCUUCUCAUACCCAUUUAGAGCCAGUAUAUGUGUCCCUAUGCUGUGCAGGGCAAUGAGGGUACAUCCUAAAUCCCUCUAUGAUGUUCUUUAAUGUAUACAAGGGGACCUCUGACACACCACCUGCUUCUUAAACUUGAGUGUCAUAACAGCCCAGAAUUCCAAGGCAAAUGCUAAAUAAAUAAUUUUUUUUGUAAUGUAGGAGGAAGAUGUCGAGUCAGGUAGUUUACAAUUAUACAAUGGGACACUUUUUCCUUCACUUCAGUUUGACUGAAGCAAAAGACAGACACUUCUUCCUUUAGGUGGAACAAAUACAAGUAGAACUAUAUGAACACAAAUUGGCUUCAAAGGGAAAUUGCUAAGUCUCUAUUAAAACAAACAGUUUUAACAGUCAUAAACGAUUAUAAAGAAUACUUAGAAUACUUUGAAUGUUUUUUAAACAGGAGUUAUCAACAAAUCUACUGGUACUAUCCAGACUUCCUGAUUUUGGUGGUGUUUAAAAUAUAACAGUUUAUUUUAGUUCUUACAUUUUAAUCCCAGUGUAGUGGCAUGUCUCUUCCUGAUUAGUCAGUGAUGUGUUUCUCAGUUUCUCUUCUGUCUCUUAUUUCUCACCUUGACUUUGAGUUUUAAAGGGAAGACAGUGUCUGAAGCAUGUGUGAACAAAUGAAUCCCCACGAUCAAGGUGGCAUGUGAAUUGAUGACGUGGAGGUGUUUGUGGUAACUGCCAUGAAAACUGAUAAUAUGCCCCAGCUUUCAGGACAUGCUCUCAACAUUGUUGUUUUAAAUGAGGUAACUGGGCUGCCUGUGCAAGUUGUUUACUUUGUCAUAGCUGCAGCCUGGAACUCUGAUUAUUUUCCAACUUAACUUGAAGAUGUAUCCACUUGUAUAUAACCCUUUUUGUGUUCAUUGUGUCAGUGCUCAGCUCUUUCAGCAUCUUAUGUAGUAUUAUUGGUACCUGAGCACUUUAGCUGGAAUUCCCUCGGUGACUUGUCACUUGAUCCUUUGUGUUGGGUGACAAUCUUUCCCGGACAUUAUGCCUGUUCACCCACCUACCACUCCUCCUGGGUAUGAUCACAACCUUCCUACUGCAUAGAAAAGCCUGAUGAUGUGUUUGUGACUAUCAAAGAUGAGAGAAAGGUCUGAGAUGUUUUGUGGUCAUUGACAAAUUUUUAAUUGCCUUUAUAGAAUAGAUAGGAGGAUGAGAAGUAAUUGUGUAAAAUCUGAAUGAAUCUGUGAAGUGCUGGAGGAAUAAACUGCUGUCCUUUCCAUCAGCACUUCCACAGUGGUGAGAACUGAUAGAAACCAGUUUUUCCAGGAAUAGAUUUUUUGUUCAUCUGUUUUCAUUGUCAAGAAGAAAAUGAUUGAUCUACUGAAAUAUGAUCCAAUGUUUUCAGAUAGUGUUUAUUCCUAGGCACAGUUCCCAUUUGCCAUUGUAUGUUCAGAACACUUUUGUUAAUUGGAGACAACGGUGGUGGUUUGUUGGGGGGUUUUUGUUGUUGUUUGGGGCUUUUUUUGGGGGGAGGGCGUGCUGGUGUUUGUGUUUGUUUGAGCUUGGGUUUUUUUAGUGUUUUAUGUGGCAGCUUGUGAAAUAUCUGGUAGUAAAAGCGAAAAACAGUCUCAGUGCUGUGUGAGUGCAGUGUUAUCUGCAACUACUCCCAGCCGAGCUCCGGACAGGUCCUCGCUCACCAGAGGGGGGAGUUGGGCACUGGGCUCUGCAGCUGAGGGGUGCCCUCCUCACUCUUGUAAGAGGAUCUCCCAUUGAAAUGGAGCCACAAUCUAGUGCUACCAGAUCUCUUCUUAUGAUAAAACAUAGGAGCAAGAAUCACCUUUUCUUACUAUUUAACACAUCUGAGCAGCCCCUUUUAAGAGAUUUUCAUUUUUCUUUACAAAGUGGACGAGAGAUGAAAUAUACUGCAAACAAGGUCUGUCAAUACUGGAGACGAUCUCAGUCAAAUAGAACUUCAACAUUCACAGUAACUGAAAUACUUUUAAUCCAUGCUCAUUGGUUAGUUUCUUUAUUUCUUUGAAAAAGGGUCAUAUUUGUUAUGCUAGAAACUUAGACAAUAUAUCGGGGUAAAAAAAGUUUCUCAGAAAAUCCUCUUUAUCACUGGCUGAAAGUUCAGUAAGACUUUUGGGUUCUGAUAUUGCUGUACUUACUGCAAAGUGAAUCAUCAGAAUCUGAGAGCGCUGUAGAUCAUCAGGAGGGUGGGUUUUGGUGUUGUCUCUUAAGAAAAUACCUAACUGAAGAUGUCAUCUGCUCUUUGCUAUCCUAACUGAUACUGGGUUUUGGGGAGGCUCCCUCCGUACUGGAGGACAAACAAGUUAGUGCUAAAGCAGCAGAGCUAAAGAUACUUUGUUUCCAAUAUAUAUGUUAAGAUCUCUGAGCUCCUGUCCUUAUCACCUCCCUUCAAUAACCUGAGUUCCUCUUCCCUUCCUUUCGCAUUCCGUAAGCAUCCUGAUCAAGCAAGAGCCAACAAAUGCUGUAACUAAUCUGCUGCUGCACUUAGGUUUUUUCUAGCUACUGCCAUGCAGAGUGUGCAACAGCUGAACUCCACCGACCUCUGCCCCCCUCACCGAGGGACACGGUUCUGUACCAGCAUUUACAUGCACACACAUUUACUUUAUGUCCUUUCCUAGUGGUAACCCCUUAAAAUGCAAGUACAGUUACAAAAGCUUCAUGUUAAUUAAAGAGGAUGCAACUAGAAUGGAUUCUUUAAUUUAAAAAAAUGUAAAAUCAACAACAGACUGUUCUUUGGACAGUAGAACUGAAAAAGUGCAGUUUCUUAAAUGUUUUCCUGCUGCCCUAGCUUCCCCUGAGUCCUGCUUGGACACUCCUGCAGUACCCAGAGUCCAGAGCCUCCAAUUUUCACAAAAUUUUUCACUGUGCUAUCUUAAAACCUCUCUUCUGCCCUUAAGUUUGGUCAAAAUUAGCUAAUAGGUUCAGAAGAGCAACAAGGCUGACAGGCAGAUAGCAUACGUUUAAUUUAAUUAUGAAAUUAGGCUAAAAGAGGCUCAAGAAGGGAUUCUUCAGUGCUGUAUUUGUGGUUGACUGCACAGAUGUGACAGAAAGCAGCUUUCAGAUACCUUCAGCCAAAUGUAUUUUCAAUUAAAGGGAAGGCAGGACCGGGGAAUUGGGUUCUUGCCUCCUUUAAUGGUGAGAAUGGCUGAUGGACAUGUUGCAAACAGCUACUUAAUGUUGUUUUCUUUUUUCCUGAUGUACAAGGCUAUACUUCCUGUGCAAUAUUCCAGCUCAGCUCUCAGCACAAAAUAUUUAAUUUUGGUUUGGGCUUUUUCUAUAACAUUCAUCACAGUAUUAUGUGGGACCUUCACCAACUUUGUUUUAUCUCGAGAGCAGAGGGAGAAAGGUUCUAUAAUAUCCAUUUCUUUGCAAGGGAAAUGAGAUGGAAGUUCAGUGUCAAAAGCAUCCCCUAGUGUUGAUUGCCCUCUUCUGAGAUAGAAUGAUCAAAUUGUUUAGUUUGGAAAAGACUUGUAAAACCAUCAAGUCCAACCCUUCCCCUAGCACUGCUAAAGCACUAACUCAAGUUACAUCAAGUUACAACCAAGUGCCACAUUCACACAUCUUUUAAAUCCCCUCAUGGAUGGUGACUCCACCUCUACCCAGGGCAGCCUGUUAAAAUAUUCAAAUGCUUGAAAAGCCUUUCCAUGAAGAAAUUUCCCCUGAUAUCCAAUAUAAACCUUCCCUGGUGUGACUUGAGGCUGUUUCCUCUGGUCCUGUCACUUGUUACUUCGAAGAAGAGACCGAGUGCCCAGGCCAUGCUUUCUCAGACCACUUGGCACUGCACAUCAUUUCCUUAUGUUCAAAUCACAGCUCUCACUGUCCUCAGCUGCAGUUGUAAAUGCUGGAGACUUCUGUAUUUCAGACCCUGGGCCUCAGUUUGCUAUUUAGGGGGGGAAAAAGGAAAACAUAUCGAAGUAUUAUGGCAUAACUGAAUUGUGAACUGUGUGCUGCCAACUGGGCAGGAUGCCAAUUAGAAAUAUUUGAUGCUUUAAUGAUAGACAGCCCAUUCUCUUCUUGCAACUUCCUGCUUGGAUUUCUGCCCAAGUAGAGGGAACUUGGUGACCUGAGACCUAGUGCCACAUGUUAUUCCUCAGUAUUUGACUGUGAGGCUGCGACAAGGCAAUUUUGGUGUGUCUAUAGCGAUGAUGGACAGUUUAGUGGAGUGAAUCAGAUCUUCAGCAACUCUUUUUUUUUUUUGGUGUAGGACGUUGUCCACUUUUUAUAUGGAGCCCUAUUCCCAUCUUUUUCAGUAGGUAGUUUCCAGAUUUUGUUUGACCUGCCAUUUCUGCAUUCCCAACUCUCUGCCUAACUUGGAGAGGCUCUACCUCUAUUCCAUUUCCUAGGGAAUAUCUGAAAAGUACUGGUGAUUCUGUUUCGUUAUCAAGAGAGGUAGGAGUCUUAUCUACAGCAUUUUUUCACUAUACUUAAUUUACUUU
Myiozetetes cayanensis is the source of this 10921-nucleotide long non-coding RNA. RefSeq lists it as uncharacterized. The transcript has 3 exons. NCBI's taxonomy places the organism in Eukaryota, Metazoa, Chordata, Aves, Passeriformes, Tyrannidae. The record is from RefSeq and is a predicted model, not a curated record.